GGAGGCGUGUCCGAGCGGUUUAUGGAGACAGUCUUGAAAACUGUUGGGGAUGCAAGUCUCUCGCAGGUUCGAAUCCUGCCGCCUCCG
This 87-nucleotide transfer RNA is filed under the name Candidatus Daviesbacteria bacterium. RNAcentral's name for it is "tRNA-Ser". It matches the Rfam family "tRNA". Rfam says of the family: Transfer RNA (tRNA) molecules are approximately 80 nucleotides in length. Lineage: Bacteria; Candidatus Daviesiibacteriota. The record is from RNAcentral.